RNAcentral lists this transfer RNA (74 nucleotides) under Rickettsiales bacterium. RNAcentral describes it as "tRNA-Met". It matches the Rfam family "tRNA". Rfam says of the family: Transfer RNA (tRNA) molecules are approximately 80 nucleotides in length. The record is from RNAcentral. Lineage: Bacteria; Pseudomonadati; Pseudomonadota; Alphaproteobacteria; Rickettsiales.
GGACCAAUAGCUUAAGUGGUCAAAGCGUGUUGCUCAUAACAAUAAGAGUGUAGGUUCAAAUCCUACUUGGUCUA